RNAcentral lists this transfer RNA (74 nucleotides) under Sphaerobolus stellatus. RNAcentral describes it as "tRNA-Cys". It matches the Rfam family "tRNA". Rfam says of the family: Transfer RNA (tRNA) molecules are approximately 80 nucleotides in length. Lineage: Eukaryota; Fungi; Basidiomycota; Agaricomycetes; Geastrales; Sphaerobolaceae. The record is from RNAcentral.
GAGUUGAGUUGCAGGAAGGUAUCUGUAUCAAAUUGCAAAUUUGACAACUAAGGGUUCGAUUCCCUCUCAACUCU